GCCCAAUCGACAACAGAUAAGCGUAAGGCGCUAGAAAGCUUGAAAUCGUUGAAAAACCGUCAACUUAUCUCUCAUGGAGUAAUCAGGCGGGUCAUUUUCAGAUAUAUUUGCUCAUUAAUCGUUUCGUUUCGCAUGAAAUACUAUUUUAGAUCCUAAAAUUCAAAUUCCAAAACCCAAACCAAAUUUGAAUUCGCAUUUUUUGGCAAAUUUUUAGUCUUGAAGUGAUUUCUCAGGUGGUUGCUUGUGUAUACAGAAGUUUGAGAUUAUUGUAUAUGGGAAGGAUCAAGCCUCGAGCUCUGUAGCAACAGAGCAAGAAGAAGAAGGGAACGAGUCGAAUAAGUCCUGUUACUAUUCUUCUAUGCGGCUUGAUUGUUCUCUUGACUAUCUUUUUCUUGUAUUCUUCAUACAGACACUGGUCCCUCAGGUCAAGAAUCCAGACUCAAGGUCGCAAAUCAUUAGGCUUUGAGGUUGAACACGCAUUUGUGGAUCCAAAGAAAUCUGAUCUGCCUGGAUACGCAGAGUCGCUGAUCAUGCAUGCAGUUCCUUUGCAGAAUACGAUGAUUGAGGUUUGCUUCAUUUCUCUUUUCAUUUUCCCUCCCCCAGGUGUUAUGCGAGUUUGCAAGGUUGAUAUAUAACAGCUAGGAAGGGUCAACUAUGUCUAAAAUCAAUGUAGUUGUUUGGUUUUACAUGAACUUAUGCAGAGUGCUUAAUACAACAUCAACCGUCUCAUGUGGUAAUUGCCAUUGAAGGUUUUUGAUUUAUGAAAUAUACCAGAAUCAAGUAAACUUUGAAUUAAGAUUCAUAAUAGCACACAGUUUACAUGUCACAGUCCAGAUUCCAUGUAAUGUAUCUUAUUAUGGAACAAUAAUUUGUAAGUAAUUCAUAAGUAGAACUGAAAAUAAGGUAUAUUUGUAACAACCUUAUAUGCCAGUUCUUUUUUUCUUAAGUUGAUUUAUGAGUAGGUACCUCAUGAAAAGCAUCUUGCAACAAAUUUUGCUUAUUCUUCUCAAAUUAACAAUGGAAUUGGUUUUGCGGUGAAAAGGGGCACUUCAAGGGGAUGCAUUUUCGUCAUGUGAUAAAGCAUUAUGUGAUUCAAGCAGGGGAUGGUGAUAGCCUUGGGGCUGCGGAAGACUGGACUUUGAAGGGGAAGCGUUACAGUCAACUUGAUACAAGGUUGCCGGCUUAAAUCAUAUUUUUCUUCUCCAUUCUUUUACCAUUUUAUGAAUUAUUCAGUAUUUUGCAUUUUGAGGUUUACUUUUAAGUGGAUUUUGAUAUUCAACCAGUUUGAAACAUGAGGCAUUCAUGCUCGGGACUUCUAAGAGAAAACAUGAUGACAAAGGAUUUGAGCUUUUCAUUACAACUGCACCCAUCCCUGAUCUUACUGAAAAACUUAUAGUUUUUGGACGGGUCGUUAAAGGAGAAGAUGUUGUUCAGGUAAAAGCACUUUAUUUUUCUUUCUAGUUGUUAUAAGGAUUGUUUUUUUGGUCACUCAUUUUCGGAUAUCAACAUUUCAUUGUUGUUUGCUUGAGACCAUGACCCGGAGAUGCACUGUAUACUGCAGUAACCAGUAUUUUAAAUAUAUUGCCAUGGGUCAUUUGUUCUCAUAGAACCAGGAUAAUAAAUUGGAGUUGUCUCAUUCCUAAUUGGAUGAGUUUGCUCAGGAAAAAAAUGUUACCAUAUGUUACAAGAGUUGUAUUUCUGGUAGUUGCUGAUUAUGUAAUUGAAUAAUGUGCUGGCCCAGGAAAUUGAAGAGGUGGAUACAGAUGAAUAUUUUCAACCUAAAUCCCAUAUAGGGAUCAUUAAUGUGACUCUAAAACAGGAAAUCUGAAGGCCCGGAUUUCUGAUUCAACACUUUCCCACAUUGCAUUUAUUCCUCCACUCUGCCUAACAUUUUUCCUGCCAAACUUGCGAUAUGAACAGUGUGUAUCUGGGGAUCUGUGCAAUCAAGAAAUUUGCUCCGUAGAAACUAUUUUAAAUUAGCAUGCGUAGUGAGUGAUACCAAUUCUAUUUUGACAAUUUUUAUUCAGGCUCGAUCAUACACUCAAAUUAUAUUGUAUAACAGGUUGAUGUAAUCUUUGCUUGGAAAUAUUGAGGGGAAAAGGUGAUUUUGCUGAUGAUCUAUGCUUGUGAUUGGAGCUUUUUUUGCAUGUUUCUGACUCAUGAACAGUCUUUAUGGCUCCUUCUGUGAAUUCAUUGAAAGGUAUUAUUUAGAUUACUUGAGAAAAUUUGCUGUGCUGUGAAUGAGAUAUACCACAUUGCCGAUGACUUGAAACAACUGUUAACACAUUCUCAAUGUCACAACACUAAAUUUUAGCUCUAGGACGACGAACCAUGGGAUGCACCUCAACAUUUUUAAUAUAUCAACAGCUGGCUAAUUCAGACACUCCUUAGAUAUGUUGCGACCACAUACUAAACCUAUUUAGGAUUGGGACUGACCUUUUCAAGCAAGUUCUUAAGCUCAUCGCUCAUUUCAAUAUUCUCUUCCUUCAGUCUCUGACGCAUCUCAGGAGCUAAUUUGUCGGCAGCUAUGUAUGUCUUUAGCAGCAAUCUGUAAGCAAUGGAGUCAAGACUAUUAAUAUGCUUCAAGAUCUUGCAAAACUUCUCAGCGCCAUCAAUAUCUUUCUCUUCACAAAAAUAAUUAAAAAAUGCAGUCACUGUCUCCUCCUUCGGUCGCCAGUCAUACUCAGCUUCAGAAAAAACUGCUUUCACAUGAUCAAAAGCCAAGUCCAGUUGAUGGAUCUUCAAGAAGAAAACCAUGAACAGCUCCCGGGCCUUGAAGAAAGGCCCUUUGGCCCUCUUAAGUGCAUCAUCAAAGAUUGAUUCAGCUUCUUCAUACAUGUCCUGUUCGAGGUAGGCUCUUAUAGCAACAUUCGCUAACCUCAUAUCAUAACUGAGGCAACUGGAUUCCCACUCCUUAAAGCAUUUGGCUAUACCCUCGACAUCUUUUAGUUUGGCAAGUGCCUGAAGCAUUACUAGGUAACUCAAAUUGGUGAUCACAGGGAAACUCGACUUCAGGGAAUUCCACACUCGAUUGACCUCUCCAAGAUUAAACGUGCCACCAUAUAAGCUAAUCAGAAAAUGGUAAGCCUCCCGAUUACGAAAUCCCAUCUUUGCCUCUACCUUUUUAAGAGCUGAUUCAACUUUCUCAAAAUGUCCGGCCUUGAGAUAGAUCGUAGCCAGAUUACUGUACGUAGUCCACUCACAAUUAUCUUUAUCAUCCUUUUCAAUCUCAGCCAGAACUCUUUCUACUCCCUCAUAAUCAUUCAAACAUCCAUAGCUUUGCAUCCAGAUAUUAUACGUGAAAGAGCAAGGUUUGAUAUUCCUCUGUUUCAUCUCAUAAACUAAGACAGGCACCUUCUCAGGUUGGCCCAAUCCCAUAUGUAGUGACAUGAGAUUGUUAAAAGGUAAAGAAACGCUAAGAAAGUUCAUUCCAUCCAUUUUCUGAAAAAGAGCCAGUGCCUUGUCAGACAUAAGUUCCUUGCAAUAACAGUGCAAAAGCGAUCCAUAUGCAGACUGACUUUUCGCAGCUGGCGAGAGCCAAUUGAAGAAAUCCUCAGCAGCAGCUAUCCCUUUGGUUUUUGCUAUAAGAUCUAAGCGUAUUGCAUAGUCCGCAUGGGAGAAGUUCAUUUUCCUCUUCUCGAUCCACUCCAUUAUCUCAAGGGCAUGAUCGAACCUCUGAUACUUGCGGAGCUCUUUGAUGCACCGAGAGAGCUCGAUUUUCCUUAUAGGCUUUCCCUCCAUAAGGUACUCAUUUAACGUCUUUGACACACUCCCUCCAGUCGCUCCUAGAGCUGACAACCUCCGGUACAGCCGUUCCCCUUUUCUCUGGGAAAUCAUCGCCGGAGGAGCCGCCUCAGACACAGCCUCCGCCGCUGUGCAGAUCUGCCUAGCCAGCCUUGAUCCAUUCAAUAUCAGGUGGCUAGAGCUCUUCGCCAUGUUGAUCGGAUUCAGGUAAGGCUCUCGCAAUCUGCUUGAAAAGAAAAGGGGUUUUGCUAGGGCUUUUG
Molecule: unclassified non-coding RNA, 4004 nt
Filed under: Hevea brasiliensis (rubber tree)
Lineage: Eukaryota; Viridiplantae; Streptophyta; Magnoliopsida; Malpighiales; Euphorbiaceae
Source: RNAcentral